AGCGAACACUGGCGGCAGGCUUAACACAUGCAAGUCGAGCGGGCAUCUUCGGAUGUCAGCGGCAGACGGGUGAGUAACACGUGGGAACGUACCCUUCGGUUCGGAACAACUCUGGGAAACUGGAGCUAAUACCGGAUACGCCCUUAUGGGGAAAGGCUUACUGCCGAAGGAUCGGCCCGCGUCUGAUUAGCUAGUUGGUGGGGUAACGGCCUACCAAGGCGACGAUCAGUAGCUGGUCCGAGAGGAUGAUCAGCCACACUGGGACUGAGACACGGCCCAGCCCCCUACGGGGGGCAGGAGGGGGGAAUAUUGGAAAAGGGGCCAAACCCUAAUCCAGCCUGGCCGGGGGGGGGAUGAAGGCCUUGGGUUUGAAAAGCCCUUUUGCCCGGGAGGAUAAUGACGGUCCCGAAAAAAAAAGCCCCGGCAAACUUGGU
This 434-nucleotide ribosomal RNA is filed under the name uncultured bacterium. Its description in RNAcentral is "partial 16S ribosomal RNA". It matches the Rfam family "Bacterial small subunit ribosomal RNA", at positions 29 to 506 of the family's 1533-position model. The record is from RNAcentral.